UACGUAGGGUGCAAGCGUUGUCCGGAAUUAUUGGGCGUAAAGAGCUCGUAGGCGGUUCGGUAAGUCGAAUGUGAAAUCUCCACGCUCAACGUGGAGGGGUCAUUCGAAACUGCCGUGACUUGAGUACGGUAGGGGAGUGUGGAAUUCCCGGUGUAGCGGUGAAAUGCGCAGAGAUCGGGAGGAACACCCGUAGCGAAGGCGGCACUCUGGGCCGAUACUGACGCUGAGGAGCGAAAGCGUGGGGAGCAAACAGG
This 254-nucleotide ribosomal RNA is filed under the name uncultured bacterium. RNAcentral describes it as "partial 16S ribosomal RNA". It matches the Rfam family "Bacterial small subunit ribosomal RNA", at positions 524 to 776 of the family's 1533-position model. The record is from RNAcentral.